ACUCCUACGGGAGGCAGCAGUGAGGAAUUUUGCGCAAUGGGCGAAAGCCUGACGCAGCGACGCCGCGUGGAGGAUGAAGUCUUUCGAGAUGUAAACUUCUGUCAGUAGGGAUGAUAAUGACAGUACCUACAGAGGAAGCACCGGCUAACUCCGUGCCAGCAGCCGCGGUAAUACGGGAGGGGUGCAAGCGUUGUUCGGAAUUACUGGGGCGUAAAGCGUACGUAGGCGGCGAGUUAAGUCGAAUGUUAAAGCCCGGGGCUCAACCCCGUGGAUGCCUUCGAUACUGGCUUGCUAGAGGGUGAUAGAGGAAAGUGGAAUUCCGAGUGUAGCGGUGAAAUGCGUAGAUAUUCGGAGGAACAUCAGUAGCGAAGGCGACUUUCUGGGUCACACCUGACGCUGAGGUACGAAAGCGUGGGUAGCAAACAGGAUUAGAUACCCUGGUAGGAUAGCG
This 451-nucleotide ribosomal RNA is filed under the name uncultured bacterium. RNAcentral describes it as "bacterial SSU rRNA". It matches the Rfam family "Bacterial small subunit ribosomal RNA", at positions 335 to 799 of the family's 1533-position model. The record is from RNAcentral.